Molecule: unclassified non-coding RNA, 329 nt
Organism: Ursus maritimus (polar bear)
Lineage: Eukaryota; Metazoa; Chordata; Mammalia; Carnivora; Ursidae
Gene: 7SK
Rfam family: 7SK RNA
About the family: 7SK was discovered as an abundant small nuclear RNA in the mid-70s but a possible function has only recently been suggested. Two independent studies have found that 7SK RNA binds the CDK9/cyclin T complex (known as elongation factor P-TEFb). P-TEFb activates transcription by phosphorylating the C-terminal domain of RNA polymerase II.
Source: Ensembl
AGGUGUGAGGGCAAUCUAGCGACGAUAUCCAUCACCAAAUUGAUAGUUGAUCUCACUGAUUUGGCUGGCUAGGUGUGUGUCCCCUUCCUUCCUUACCCCUCCAUGUGCAUCCCUCCCAAAGCUGCAUGUUAGGUCGAAGAGGAUGACCUUCCCUGACAGAGGAGGACUGUUCUUUGAUCAAGAAUAUAUGAGUAGCUACAUUCCCCCGAUAUAAUCUCCAAACAAGCUCUCAGUGUCCAUUUAUAAAACAUAAGGUAGUCAAGCAUCUAAGACUCCUGGCACACUCAAACAUCCAAAUGAAGUGCUGCGUGUGGCAGUCUGCCCUUCCU